GUCUUUUUGAUAANUAANUUUAAAGUCUAACCUGCCCAAUGNANNAUUANUUUAAUGGCUGCGGNNUAUUUUGACUGUACAAAGGUAGCAUAAUAAUUAGUUUUUUAAUUGAAAGCUGGUAUGAAUGGUUGAACGAGAAAAUUACUGUCUCAAUUUNAANNUUUUUAGAAUUUUAUUUUUAAGUUAAAAAGCUUAAAUUUUAUUAAAAGACGAGAAGACCCUAUAGAGUUUNUAUAAAAAAUUUANAUUNNAUUUUNUUUUAGNAAUUNANNNUUUUAAUUNNAAUUUUUUAUUUUGUUGGGGUGACAAAUAAAUUUAAUAAACUUUAUUNUUUANNAAUUACAUAAAUUUAUGAUUUUUUGAUCCAUUAAUUAAUGAUUAUUAGAUUAAAUUACCUUAGGGAUAACAGCGUAAUUUUUUUAGAGAGUUCUAAUCGAAAAAAAAGAUUGCGACCUCGAUGUUGGAUUAAAAUUAAUAUUUGGUGUAGAAGCUNGANAUUAUUAGGUCUGUUCGACCUUUAAAAUUUUACAUGAUCUGAGUUUAAACCGGUAUGAGCCAGGUUGGUUUCUAUCUUUAAUUA
RNAcentral lists this ribosomal RNA (580 nucleotides) under Parhydraenida unicornis. RNAcentral describes it as "partial large subunit ribosomal RNA". It matches the Rfam family "Bacterial large subunit ribosomal RNA", at positions 1825 to 2650 of the family's 2925-position model. Lineage: Eukaryota; Metazoa; Arthropoda; Insecta; Coleoptera; Hydraenidae. The record is from RNAcentral.